GGAAAAAAGUGAAAUUACAGCAACGGGAUGACUUAAGCUGAAAAAAAUAUGAACCUCACGCAAGCGUCAUCAAAAACGGGGAAAAAUCUUCGAAAAUCAAAAAAAAUGGUACCGAACGCAGACGCAAAGGGUUUAUCAUUUUUUUUUAAAUGGGACGAUUAAUGUAGAAAAAACGCAGACACAAGAACAUGUGUGGCCAGGGGACUGGCGAUACGGCGACCCUCGGCAUUGUUCAAAUUGAAAAGGAAUCAUCACGGACUCGGGCGAUCAAAUUUGCAUACGCAGGACGAAGGACGAACCACCACCACCACCAACAACAACAGCGACAAAGCGACAGCGUCUCCUUAUCUAUUUGCCUUCCAGAAUCCAGGUAUAAAAGACUGCUGUCCUCUCUCUCACACACACAUGCGCGGGGAAUGAUAAAUACUUUUUUUCUCCACACUUUUUUUUAGGAAGUUUUUUCACUUUUUUUUACCACUUUCAAUUUUUUGUAUGCAGCGUUUUAUUCAAAUUGCGAUCCGAGACUGUCGUGUGAAGUUUCGUCUUGAGAAGAUUUUGCCCCGAAACGAAGGAUGCGCACCAGAGCCUGGGAACAUCCGCGACCGAAGGACACCGAAAGAGCCACAGCCUGUACAGAGACUGUUCAUUUGCUUAGACAUCUGAUUACCUUGCCCAAGGUAGCAGAAGCCAAGGAUAUACAUAUACAAAUAUGUUGUUUACUAGGUGCCAUUACUGGGAUAGGAUUUGCUGUCUUUUUUUUUCUUUUAAUCUCAAACAAUUCGUUUUAGUAAAUAAAGAAAAUUACAAGUGGGUGCUACUAAGUAUUAUAAUUUUGAAGUAAACAUUUCUC
RNAcentral lists this long non-coding RNA (850 nucleotides) under Drosophila guanche. Lineage: Eukaryota; Metazoa; Arthropoda; Insecta; Diptera; Drosophilidae. The record is from RNAcentral.